This 167-nucleotide ribosomal RNA is filed under the name Byblis rorida. RNAcentral's name for it is "5.8S ribosomal RNA". It matches the Rfam family "5.8S ribosomal RNA". From Rfam's summary of the family: 5.8S ribosomal RNA (5.8S rRNA) is a component of the large subunit of the eukaryotic ribosome. It is transcribed by RNA polymerase I as part of the 45S precursor that also contains 18S and 28S rRNA. Functionally, it is thought that 5.8S rRNA may be involved in ribosome translocation. The record is from RNAcentral. Lineage: Eukaryota; Viridiplantae; Streptophyta; Magnoliopsida; Lamiales; Byblidaceae.
GAAACGAUGACUCUCGGCAACGGAUAUCUCGGCUCUCGCAUCGAUGAAGAACGCAGCGAAAUGCGAUACUUGGUGUGAAUUGCAGAAUCCCGCGAACCAUCGAGUCUUUGAACGCAAGUUGCGCCCGAGGCCAUCAGGCCAAGGGCACGCCUGCCUGGGCGUCACGC